This 510-nucleotide ribosomal RNA is filed under the name uncultured bacterium. RNAcentral's name for it is "bacterial SSU rRNA". It matches the Rfam family "Bacterial small subunit ribosomal RNA", at positions 15 to 518 of the family's 1533-position model. The record is from RNAcentral.
GAUUAUGGCUCAGGAUGAACGCUAGCGGCAGGCUUAACACAUGCAAGUCGAGGGGCAACGCGAGUAGCAAUACUUGGCGGCGACCGGCGCAAGGGUGCGUAACGCGUGAGCAACAUGCCCGUAUCAGGGGGAUAAUCCAGGGAAACUUGGUCUAAUACCCCAUAGUAAUUUUGUAAGGCAUCUUAUAAGAUUUAAAGCUUUGGUGGAUACGGAUUGGCUCGCGUGACAUUAGCUGGAUGGUAAGGUAACGGCUUACCAUGGCUAUGAUGUCUAGGGGUUCUGAGAGGAAGGUCCCCCACACUGGAACUGAGACACGGUCCAGACUCCUACGGGAGGCAGCAGUGAGGAAUAUUGGACAAUGGAUGGAAAUCUGAUCCAGCCAUGCCGCGUGAAAAGGAAGAAGGUCCUAUGGAUUGUAAACUUCUUUUGUAUGGGAGCAAUAAGGCCUACGUGUAGGUUGAUGAGAGUACCAUACGAAUAAGCACCGGCUAACUCCGUGCCAGCCGCCGC